UAAUGGCGAAUGAACAGGGAUUAGCUCACGAUGGAAAUCGGGGCCUAUGGCUUCGAAUUGUAGUCUCGAGAUGCAUUGCCAACUGGGGCGCAGGUGUAAGCCUCUUGGGAAAGAGCGCCAAUGAGGGUGAGAGUCCCGUUUGCCAUCUGUAGUCCCCUGUGUACGGCGUGUGCUCUCAGAGUCACGUUCCUCGGGAUUGGAGCGCAAAGUGGGUGGUAAGUUUCAUCUAAAGCUGAAUAUUGGUUCGAGACCGAUAGCAAACAAGUACCAUGAGGGAAAGAUGAAAAGGACUUUGAAAAGAGAGUUAAAAGUGCCUGAAAUUGCUGAAGGGGAAGCGAACGGAACCAGUCUUCUCGGUGGAAUUGCCAUGCCCUUCUGGGUGUGGUGUCUUCUGCCUUGGUUGUCACCUCUGGUUCAUGCGUGGGGAAGCCCUGGGUGUAUGGUAGCUCGCUCUCGGGUGGGUGAAAGCGCCUGAUGGAACCCACGCGUGUA
This 492-nucleotide ribosomal RNA is filed under the name Peridiniopsis borgei. Its description in RNAcentral is "LSU rRNA". It matches the Rfam family "Eukaryotic large subunit ribosomal RNA", at positions 84 to 587 of the family's 3401-position model. Lineage: Eukaryota; Dinophyceae; Peridiniales; Peridiniopsidaceae. The record is from RNAcentral.